GACGAACGCUGGCGGCGUGCUUAACACAUGCAAGUCGAACGGAAAGGCCCUGCUUUUGUGGGGUGCUCGAGUGGCGAACGGGUGAGUAACACGUGAGUAACGCGCCCUUGACUUUGGGAUAACUUCAGGAAACUGGGGCUAAUACCGGAUAGGAGCUCCUGCUGCAUGGUGGGGGUUGGAAAGUUUCGGCGGUUGGGGAUGGACUCGCGGCUUAUCAGCUUGUUGGUGGGGUAGUGGCUGACCAAGGCUUUGACGGGUAGCCGGCCUGAGAGGGUGACCGGCCACAUUGGGACUGAGAUACGGCCCAAACUCCUACGGGAGGCAGCAGUGGGGAAUAUUGCACAAUGGGCGGAGGCCUGAUGCAGCAACGCCGCGUGCGGGAUAACGGCCUUCGGGUUGUAAACCGCUUUCGCCUGUGACGAAGCGUGAGUGACGGUAAUGGGUAAAGAAGCACCGGCUAACUACGUG
Molecule: ribosomal RNA, 468 nt
Filed under: uncultured bacterium
Lineage: Bacteria
Description: partial 16S ribosomal RNA
Rfam family: Bacterial small subunit ribosomal RNA
Source: RNAcentral